This 430-nucleotide unclassified non-coding RNA is filed under the name soil metagenome. RNAcentral describes it as "partial contains 5.8S ribosomal RNA, internal transcribed spacer 2, and large subunit ribosomal RNA". The stretch from base 1 to 120 matches the Rfam family "5.8S ribosomal RNA", at positions 35 to 154 of the family's 154-position model. The record is from RNAcentral.
GAUGAAGAACGUAGCGAAAUGCGAUACGUAAUGUGAAUUGCAGAAUUCAGUGAAUCAUCGAAUCUUUGAACGCAUAUUGCGCUCUUUGGUAUUCCGAAGAGCAUGCUUGUUUGAGUAUCAGUAAACACCUCAAAGCUUUUGGAUUUUUUAAUCGAAAAGCUUUGGACUUGAGCAAUCCCAACACCAAUCUUUUUGAGAUCGGUGGCGGGUUGCUUGAAAUGCAGGUGCAGCUGGACUUUUAUCUGAGCUAAAAGCAUAUCUAUUUAGUCCUCGUCAAACAGGAUUAUUACUUUUGCUGCAGCUAACAUAAAGGAUAAUUGUCCUCUUUGCUGACUGAUGCAGGAUUUUACGACACUUUAUGUGUUGUUCAACUCGAUCUCAAAUCAAGUAAGACUACCCGCUGAACUUAAGCAUAUCAAUAAGCGGAGGA